GGAGAGGUGGCAGAGUGGUUGAUUGCGGCGGUCUCGAAAACCGCUAGGAGCGCUAAGCUCCUCGGGGGUUCGAAUCCCUCCCUCUCCG
RNAcentral lists this transfer RNA (88 nucleotides) under Cyanobacteria bacterium SW_9_44_58. RNAcentral describes it as "tRNA-Ser". It matches the Rfam family "tRNA". From Rfam's summary of the family: Transfer RNA (tRNA) molecules are approximately 80 nucleotides in length. Their secondary structure includes four short double-helical elements and three loops (D, anti-codon, and T loops). Lineage: Bacteria; Bacillati; Cyanobacteriota. The record is from RNAcentral. RNAcentral also lists the same sequence under 1 other name.